This is a long non-coding RNA of Electrophorus electricus (electric eel), 341 nucleotides long. RefSeq lists it as uncharacterized. NCBI's taxonomy places the organism in Eukaryota, Metazoa, Chordata, Actinopteri, Gymnotiformes, Gymnotidae. The record is from RefSeq and is a predicted model, not a curated record.
GGAGGUGCCGCGCGCUCGCGGCCCGUUCUCGCUAGCAGGAAGCCUGGCACGUUCCGUUCGGACUGUCGUUCGGCUUCUUGCUGACAUGAUGUCAGCGGGACACGCUGCUGAACUGGACCCUUCCUUUCUUGUUGGCGGACAGAUGUGGCAUGGGUCCUCCCUGCACGGUCUCCUUCUCAGCUCCUCGUGAAAAUCAAACGUGGGGGCCGUCCAGUGAUUUGGCUGCUCUGGUCCCGCGGUCUUCCUGCAGGCUCUUGGAGAUGCUCACACGAUGGUGCUAAUUGUUCAAGACUCCUUGCAGCAGUGUCCCGAUUCCAUAAUAAACUGAACCAGGGAUCCCA